RNAcentral lists this long non-coding RNA (756 nucleotides) under Anolis carolinensis (green anole). Its description in RNAcentral is "lncRNA (ENSACAG00000033903.2)". The record is from RNAcentral. Lineage: Eukaryota; Metazoa; Chordata; Lepidosauria; Squamata; Anolidae.
AUGAAUUUCUACAUUGCUUGCAUUGCACAUACAGAGGUGCUUAGAAAGUCUUCCACCCAAGAGCAGAUGAAGCUAGAUGUGUUAAGUUUCAACAGACCCAUUCUAUCCUCAGUGUUCAGGUACUGCCCUCUUCUUUCUUCUGUACACAUUUUUGACUGUUCAUUCUAUUUUUCUUCCUCAGAGUUUUGCAAGACAAUAGUUGGGGCUACAUAUGCAAACUACUAUUAUCCAGAUACAACAACAGACAGCUUGCGCUGUGUGAGUAACUGCACCAAGGGCAGUGCGUAUGCUAUCAAUUGCUACCAUGGGGUUUGCCGCAUCUCUGACAAAGGCCCCAACUGCAACUGUAAUGACCGGAAUACCUUUUGGUAUGUAGACAAUAACUGCCAGACGCGUUUCCAGAAGAGUGAGGUGGGUCUUGGUAUUGGGAUGGCUGUCCUCUUCCUGAUUGCUAUCAUCUUGGCUGUCUUCCUCUUCAGAACCUAUCGGAGAAAGUCUGAGUCUAGAUACUCUGAUGGAGAUAACCUCAUUUAUGAAGACACUAAAGAGGAAGAAUGGCUACCCCCGUGGACCCUGAACUUCACAAAUGAGGCAGCUGACUUCCACAAUGGAAGCCAAAAUAUAAACAAUGGAUUCAAUCUUUCACUUGACUCAGUAGACACCUCAGUACAGGUACGUAUCACUGUCCUUUCCUCUUCGGUGGAAUUUACUGGAUAUCUUUAUUCCGGCAUCAAGCAACUGAUGCAUAACAUGUAA